GACGAACGCUGGCGGCGUGCUUAACACAUGCAAGUCGAACGAUGACCCGGAGCUUGCUCUGGUGAUUAGUGGCGAACGGGUGAGUAACACGUGAGUAACCUGCCCUUGACUCUGGGAUAAGCACUGGAAACGGUGUCUAAUACCGGAUACGAACCUCGGCCGCAUGGCCAGGGGUUGGAAAGAAUUUCGGUCAAGGAUGGACUCGCGGCCUAUCAGCUAGUUGGUGAGGUAAUGGCCCACCAAGGCGACGACGGGUAGCCGGCCUGAGAGGGUGACCGGCCACACUGGGACUGAGACACGGCCCAGACUCCUACGGGAGGCAGCAGUGGGGAAUAUUGCACAAUGGGCGCAAGCCUGAUGCAGCAACGCCGCGUGAGGGACGACGGCCUUCGGGUUGUAAACCUCUUUUAGUAGGGAAGAAGCGAAAGUGACGGUACCUGCAGAAAAAGCACCGGCUAACUACGUGCCAGCAGCCGCGGUAAUACGUAGGGUGCAAGCGUUGUCCGGAAUUAUUGGGCGUAAAGAGCUCGUAGGCGGUUUGUCGCGUCUGCUGUGAAAACCCGAGGCUCAACCUCGGGCCUGCAGUGGGUACGGGCAGACUAGAGUGCGGUAGGGGAGAUUGGAAUUCCUGGUGUAGCGGUGGAAUGCGCAGAUAUCAGGAGGAACACCGAUGGCGAAGGCAGAUCUCUGGGCCGUAACUGACGCUGAGGAGCGAAAGCAUGGGGAGCGAACAGGGUUAGAUACCCUGGUAGUCCAUGCCGUAAACGUUGGGAACUAGAUGUAGGGGCCAUUCCACGGUUUCUGUGUCGCAGCUAACGCAUUAAGUUCCCCGCCUGGGGAGUACGGCCGCAAGGCUAAAACUCAAAGGAAUUGACGGGGGCCCGCACAAGCGGCGGAGCAUGCGGAUUAAUUCGAUGCAACGCGAAGAACCUUACCAAGGCUUGACAUAUACGAGAACGGGUCAGAAAUGGUCAACUCUUUGGACACUCGUAAACAGGUGGUGCAUGGUUGUCGUCAGCUCGUGUCGUGAGAUGUUGGGUUAAGUCCCGCAACGAGCGCAACCCUCGUUCUAUGUUGCCAGCACGUAAUGGUGGGAACUCAUAGGAGACUGCCGGGGUCAACUCGGAGGAAGGUGGGGAUGACGUCAAAUCAUCAUGCCCCUUAUGUCUUGGGCUUCACGCAUGCUACAAUGGCCGAUACAAAGGGCUGCGAUACCGUAAGGUGGAGCGAAUCCCAAAAAGUCGGUCUCAGUUCGGAUUGAGGUCUGCAACUCGACCUCAUGAAGUCGGAGUCGCUAGUAAUCGCAGAUCAGCAACGCUGCGGUGAAUACGUUCCCGGGCCU
This 1342-nucleotide ribosomal RNA is filed under the name uncultured bacterium. RNAcentral describes it as "bacterial SSU rRNA". It matches the Rfam family "Bacterial small subunit ribosomal RNA", at positions 28 to 1381 of the family's 1533-position model. The record is from RNAcentral.